GUCGUACUCCCUCCGUCCAGAAAUACUUGUCAUUAAAAUGAUUAAAAGGGGAUGCAUCUAGACGUUCUUUAGUUCUAGAUACAACCCUUUUUAUCCAUUUUGAAGACUAGUAUUUUCGGACGGAGGGAGUAGUAU
Triticum aestivum (bread wheat) is the source of this 135-nucleotide non-coding RNA. The record is from Rfam. Lineage: Eukaryota; Viridiplantae; Streptophyta; Magnoliopsida; Poales; Poaceae.